RNAcentral lists this ribosomal RNA (253 nucleotides) under uncultured bacterium. RNAcentral describes it as "partial 16S ribosomal RNA". It matches the Rfam family "Bacterial small subunit ribosomal RNA", at positions 524 to 776 of the family's 1533-position model. The record is from RNAcentral.
UACGGAGGGGGCUAGCGUUGUUCGGAAUUACUGGGCGUAAAGCGCGCGUAGGCGGACCUGCAAGUCGGGGGUGAAAGCCCGAGGCUCAACCUCGGAACUGCCUUCGAUACUGCGGGUCUUGAGUCCGGGAGAGGUGAGUGGAAUUCCUAGUGUAGAGGUGAAAUUCGUAGAUAUUAGGAAGAACACCAGUGGCGAAGGCGGCUCACUGGCCCGGUACUGACGCUGAGGUGCGAAAGCGUGGGGAGCAAACAGG